UAAAAGGAGGAAAAAAAUGAGAUAUUCUCUCUUAUUUCUUGCAACAACAGGAGAGGGGAGGAGAGGUCCUCCGAUGACUUUUUUUAUUCCUUUCUCUUCCAAUCAACACCUACCCACCCAAGUUUUGUUCCAUUAAAUCUUACUACUAGAAAACAAUUUUUUGCUUGAUUUCCACAAUUGUUUUCUUUAUUUGAGGCUAAGAUUUCAAGUGGGUUAAUCAAAAAAAGCUAUGCUAGAGAGACAAAGCUCCAAGGUAAGAAAAUAUGUUUUCUUCAUAUCACCUUAAUUAUUUAAGAUAUUUAAUAUCAGAAAUGUGAUGAAGGAAGUGUAUUAAUAUUUUGUUUAUAUUUUGUACUAAAAAAUGUUGAAUGGAUGCAGAAGAAGACUUUGAGUGGAUGAAUGGGUGGAUCCACAUGUUGAGAAAGCUAAAAGAAGCUUUGUUUUGAAACUUUUGCUAUUAAAGAGGUGUCAUGUAUUCUUUUAACCUCCCUUUAAUAAAAUGAUCAUGAAAAUUAUUAAAAUGGUGAAAUAUAAUAUAAUAUAUAUGUAUAUUUAAAAAGUGAUUAAAAGUACUUAUAUGAGAAAAAUAAUAGUUUAGUAAGUUGUGAUAAUUGGAAGAAAUAUAGUAAAAUUUAUGAACUUUCUUUAUGGCACUUAAAUAGAUUAAAAAAGUGUCAAGAUAAUUAUAGUUAUGUCAAGCGUGGUAAAGUAAAAUGUGAAUUAUUACUAAAAUGAGUUAAAAGUUGAAAUUUAAUAUAAUGAUUAUUUAUUAAAAAGAGAGUAAAAAUAACUGAAAAUGUUUAAUAUUGUUGAGAGAACUAACUGCUUGAAUAUAUUAAUAAAUGAACGUAUUAAAUUAAAAAACAUAGGAUAAUGAGUGGAUGUUCAAAGAGCUCCUAAUUAUGUGAUCUUGAAAAGUGUUUAAUAUCAUAAAACAUGGUAUACCUUUACUUGUGUAACACCUUUCACUUUUCUCACCGUCUAGCUGAAAUGGGAGAUACUGUUGGAACAUAUACAAACAAGAAAUCUUGAAAUAUAUUUUUUUUCCUUUUUAUCGUUCCCAAUUUAAAACAUUUUUAUAAUAUCAAUAAAUCAACUUUAUGAAAAUUUAGAGCCUUUAGAAUCAAUUUAAAAUCAUUUAGGAGUGGUUCAGGAACAUUGAAUGUGUUUGGGACUCAAAACAAGUUAAACAAUGAAAUGGGAAUAAGGUUGUGCACAAUGCUGGGACAUUACAUGAGGUCGUAAUGUCACUUGCUAUUUGGGCAAAGUCACAAUGUCGUAGGUGAAUGUCGUGAUCUUGCAAGGACAAGGUCACGACAUCACCUUUUGAGCUACAAUGUCAUGACGUUACAAAAGUCAAGGUCGUGACGUCGAAGCAAAGCAACUCCAAAUUAUCCUUAGAUCACCUUCAAACAUAGUAUACACAAGACAUGCUUAAAGAUAAUCCAAAUACAUAUAAAAAUAAUUCCCUAAAUAUUUUCAACCAAACAUUACAUACAUAAAAUCAUUAAAAGGAUAUUUAAAACAUAUUAAGCCUUUAUGGAUUCAUUCAAAACAAAUUUAAUCUUUCAUAUAUCACUUCCCGCGUCAUUUCUACAUAAUUUACAACAUUAUAAUGCCAAAUUCAAACCAACCAACUUGGUACUAGAUAAGAGUUCAACCUAUGUAUAUACCAAACCUAUAGGAGACAACACUUAAAGAAUUUGUACUUACUCUUCAAGCUUUGAUAAGGUGAUGAAAUCUCCUGAAGUGGGCAUGGGUUCUAUUGGAACAUCGAUAUGCCUCCUGGCACAGCGAAAAAAUAAUUUCGGUGAUCACAACCCAUGGUAUAAGCAAGUGACAUAUUAAGAAUAUGAGCACCACCAUAAUGUAAUACUAAACCCGCAAUCAAGCCUUCAUCCCAACAAGAACCAUCAACACUCAAUAGCUCACUGAACUCCAUAUCUUUCAGCCCAUCCAAUGGAACCAAGUCAACCAAAAAUUGUUAAGAGUUCAACCUAUGUAUAUACCAAACCUAUAGGAGACAACACUUAAAGAAUUUAUACCUAUUCUUCAAGCUUUGCUGAGGUGAUAAAAUGUCUUGCAGUGGGCAUGGGUUCUAUUGGAAUAUCGGUAUGCCUCGUGGCACAACGAUAAAAUAAUUCUGGUGAUCAUAACCCAUGGUAUAAGCAAGUGACAUAUUAAGAAUACGAGCACCACCAUAAGGUAAUAGUAAACCCACAAUCAAGCCUUCAUCCUAACAAGAACCAUCAACACUCAAUAGCUCAUUGAACUCCAUAUCUUCCAGCCUAUCCAACAGAACCAAGUCAACCAAAAAAUUGUUAUCACAAAAAACCCACGAAUCCUUAAAUAACACAACAGAACCUUGACUUGUCGUCAAAUGUAGUAGUUAUUUUAGGUCAUUUCUGCACUUAACGAGCUUAUUUUCUUGGCAUUUUAUAAUUAAUUAUUAUAUCUGCAGUACUAGUAGGUUAGAAAUGAAAUAUUAAUAAAAUAAGUGUUGUUACACAUUUUCUACUAUUUCAAUGACUCAUAAGGCUAACUCGAGCCUCGUGAGUGACUAAUGGGUCAUUUAAGUGUGUAAAAUGCCAAUUUAAGUCUAAUAAUACAAUGGAUGAUGAUCGGGUCAUGAGACAAUGAAGCUCGAUAGCACAAUGAAGUUGCUAAGGCUGGGAAAGCACUUGACGCCAUGAAAAAUGUUUCCUCCCGUCACGACGACACGAUAAAGAUAUGAAUGCAUUCACGGUGGCGAUGUUGUGAUGAGGAGCCUUCCUAUGUCAUGACAACGCAGUGAUGGUGGGCCAAAAUAUUGUUGACUGUUUGGACGGUACUUUUGGGAUAUUUCCUUAUUUGGACCGUAGCAUUUAUCAAAAUAUUGUAUUAAUUGGUAUCUAAGUGUAUCUACGGUAUAGUGGUCACCAAGUAGCCCGUUGCCUAUAUAAGCAACCUUAGGAUCAUUGAAAUUAGAGUGCAAACUUAGACAAACGAUUUUUCCUAUUCAAUUUUCUUUGUAUUUUCUUUUUAUUUUCGUGUAAUCGAAACUUUUCUAUUCUAAUGUGAAGACAUUUACGAGCGGAGAUUGCUACGGGAUCGUGUUUCAAUAUAUAUUUAUGAGCCUU
Molecule: long non-coding RNA, 3119 nt
Filed under: Gossypium barbadense (sea-island cotton)
Lineage: Eukaryota; Viridiplantae; Streptophyta; Magnoliopsida; Malvales; Malvaceae
Description: long non-coding RNA (GBAR_LNC005337)
Source: RNAcentral